AGAGCGAACGCUGGCGGCAGGCCUAACACAUGCAAGUCGAGCGCCCGUAGCAAUACGGGAGCGGCAGACGGGAUAGUAACACGUGGGAACGCGCCCUUCGGUUCGGAAUAACUCAGGGAAACUUGAGCUAAUACCGAAUACGCCCUUACGGGGAAAGAUUUAUUGCCGAAGGAACGGCCCGCGUCCGAUUAGCUAGUUGGUGAGGUAAUGGCUCACCAAGGCUACGAUCGGUAGCUGGUCUGAGAGGAUGACCAGCAUCACUGGGACUGAGACACGGCCCAGACUCCUACGGGAGGCAGCAGUGGGGAAUAUUGGACAAUGGGCGCAAGCCUGAUCCAGCCAUGCCGCGUGGAUGAUGAAGGCCUUAGGGUUGUAAAGUCCGUUUUAACGGGGAAGAUAAUGACGGUACCCGUAGAAUAAGCCCCGGCUAACUUCGUGCCAGCAGCCGC
RNAcentral lists this ribosomal RNA (449 nucleotides) under uncultured bacterium. RNAcentral describes it as "SSU rRNA". It matches the Rfam family "Bacterial small subunit ribosomal RNA", at positions 26 to 518 of the family's 1533-position model. The record is from RNAcentral.